AACGAACGCUGGCGGCAUGCCUAACACAUGCAAGUCGAACGAAGCCUUCGGGCUUAGUGGCGCACGGGUGCGUAACGCGUGGGAAUCUGCCCUUGGGUUCGGAAUAACAGUUAGAAAUGACUGCUAAUACCGGAUGAUGUCUUCGGACCAAAGAUUUAUCGCCCAAGGAUGAGCCCGCGUAGGAUUAGGUAGUUGGUGGGGUAAUGGCCCACCAAGCCGACGAUCCUUAGCUGGUCUGAGAGGAUGAUCAGCCACACUGGGACUGAGACACGGCCCUGACUCCUACGGGAGGCAGCAGUGGGGAAUAUUGGACAAUGGGCGAAAGCCUGAUCCAGCAAUGCCGCGUGAGUGAUGAGGGCCUUAGGGUUGUAAAGCUCUUUUACCAGGGAUGAUAAUGACAGUACCUGGAGAAUAAGCUCCGGCUAACUCCGUGCCAGCAGCCGCCGUAA
RNAcentral lists this ribosomal RNA (449 nucleotides) under uncultured bacterium. RNAcentral describes it as "partial 16S ribosomal RNA". It matches the Rfam family "Bacterial small subunit ribosomal RNA", at positions 29 to 523 of the family's 1533-position model. The record is from RNAcentral.